Long non-coding RNA from Eriocheir sinensis (Chinese mitten crab), 1488 nucleotides. RefSeq lists it as uncharacterized. Lineage: Eukaryota; Metazoa; Arthropoda; Malacostraca; Decapoda; Varunidae. The record is from RefSeq and is a predicted model, not a curated record. The transcript is spliced from 3 exons.
CUCUCUCUCUCUCUCUCUCUCUCACACACACACCUGUUUGCACUUCCUUACACACCUGUACGCGUGAAAUUAAUUAGACUUCAUAUACACACACACAUACCUGCGCGUACACCUGUCUUUUUGCUAAUGUUAAUUGAUAAUAACUUCUUCACCUUUGCUUAUUGGAAAGGAAAUAAUAAUAAUAAUAAUAAUAAUAAUAAUAAUAAUAAUAAUAAUAAUAAUAAGUGCUAGUAAGUCUGUUUUAUUUGUUAACUUCUAAUGAUGAAAAAAAAUGUAGUGGAAUAUGACAUUAAAAAAAGAAAAUUAUAUAGUUAAAAAGUAAAGAAAAGAAUGAAAAGAUUAGAAAGACGAAAAAACUGAGCUAUUUUCCUAUUUUCCUCAUUUUCCUUCAAUUAUCACUUUCUUAAACACACUCAAAGUCAAUAUAGAGUGUAGAAGUUGAACGAUUAAUCUAUUCUCGUGUUCUUCUCUAUCUAUCUAUCUAUCUAGUACUAUUUUGGCAAGGCUUUGGUGGAGGUUGUGUUAGUGUGUCCAUGGGUAGUGUUAUGAGCCUGGUGAUAGUUUGGCAAGGCUUUGGUGGAGGUUGUGUUAGUGUGUCCAUGGGUAGUGUUAUGAGCCUGGUGAUAGUUUGACAAGGCUUUGGUGGAGGUUGUGUUAGUGUGUCCAUGGGUAGUGUUAUGAGCCUGGUGAUAGUUUGGCAAGGCUUUGGUGGAGGUUGUGUUAGUGUGUCCAUGGGUAGUGUUAUGAGCCUGGUGAUAGUUUGGCAAGGCUUUGGUGGAGGUUGUGUUAGUGUGUCCAUGGGUAGUGUUACGAGCCUGGUGAUAGUUUGGCAAGGCUUUGGUGGAGGUUGUGUUAGUGUGUCCAUGGGUAGUGUUACGAGCCUGGUGAUAGUUUGACAAGGCUUUGGUGGAGGUUGUGUUAGUGUGUCCAUGGGUAGUGUUACGAGCCUGGUGAUAGUUUGACAAGGCUUUGGUGGAGGUUGUGUUAGUGUGUCCAUGGGUAGUGUUACGAGCCUGGUGAUAGUUUGACAAGGUUUCUGCACCUUGGACGUAAAGAAACACUCAUGGGAACCCAAAUAAACUCCUUUGUGGUCUUUGUUAAUAGUUGUGAGUUUCGAAAGCGUCUCAGGAUAUGACUUCACAACCCAACCCUUAAGCAACACACCAAUUUUAUACUCUGUUAUCUCUCUUGCUGUCAUAUCCUGUUAGUUUCCACGUAUUCAAGUAGUAGUAGUAGAAGUAGUAGUAGUAGCAGUAGUAGUAGUAGUAGUAGGGACGAGAAAUAUGAAAGCACAGUCAAUCAUUCCUCUUGCAUAAUAUUCUUGGACAGUUUGAUUUUUCCUUUUAUUUUGUUAUUUGCUUGUUUGUUGGCUUUCUGUGUGUGUGUGUGUGUGUGUGUGUGUGUGUGUGUGUGUGUGUGUGUGAGUGUGAGUGUGUGUGUGUGUGUGAGUGAGCGUGAAGAAAAUGGAAUAAUGAAAUGAAGGUGAGA